UCUGAAACAGGAAUGACCAGUCGAUCCGAAACUCAAACAUAUUUGUUUAUGUUUGAGGUCCAAUUAAACACUCACAAGUUUAUGUUUGAGGUCCACCAGCAUAUUUGUUUUCAGAAUUGACAGCUGCCCAUAAUAUUCAACCAUCUACAUAUUAGAAUUUAUUUGAGGGAUCCUUCAAUGCACAUAAAAUAAAUUUGAGGAAAUUGCAUUGCAGAUGCUAAAGUUGCACUAUGGUAAAAGCGCAUAUCUGUUAGUACAGUACUAAUUCGGUGAGCAUCUACUAGUGUUUUAGUUUGCAACUCUGAAGCUCUCAUUUCUCAUUGACAUGGAUAACUCUGAAACUGAAACUCACCUGACAGUAUCAGCAUGGUAGAAACUCACCUGACAGUAUAUGCAUCUGUGUUGAUAAUAUCUCUUUGACAGGUGCAAUUUGCUCAUAGUAUGUAAUGCCCAUUUCUUCCUUUCUGGUUUUUCACAAACUAUACAUUAGCUGAUAAUUCUUAUUGAGCAUCUCAACUUAUGUGCCCUGUGUUCCUUUGAAUGAACAUUUUUUAGUGACUUAGAUGAGGAUAUCAAUGAUGAUGGAGAGGACUAUGUGAGCGAGGAAGACGACUAUGUGAGCGGAAGACGACUAUGUUAGUUUCUAAGAUGACUACAUGAGUGAUGAAGAAGACUUGCUGAUUGAAGAAGAUGAGUAUGAUGAGAAGAAAGAAAGUUAAUUAUUGUAAAUAUAAUUCUCUUUUGAAUUCCAAAAGUGGCCAGUUCCAGGUGAUGCUGAUCACUGAUGUUGUACCAUCUCAGUCGUUUGGGUUCAACUGAAGGUGAUGCUGCUCAGUGAUGAUGUUCAAAGUGGAAAUAUGGUGAUGAUUUUGACAGUAUACAAACUGAGAGUGUCAAAAUUUUCGUCUCCGUUUUGCUGAAUCAAAUUACUACAAACUGAGAGUGUCAUAAUUUUCGUCUCCGGUUUGCUCCGUGAGACAUAGUGAGAUAUUAUAUUGAAC
Long non-coding RNA from Lolium rigidum, 1001 nucleotides. RefSeq lists it as uncharacterized. The record is from RefSeq and is a predicted model, not a curated record. The transcript is spliced from 2 exons. Lineage: Eukaryota; Viridiplantae; Streptophyta; Magnoliopsida; Poales; Poaceae.